UACAGAGGGGGCAAGCGUUAUUCGGAAUUAUUGGGCGUAAAGGGCGCGUAGGCGGCUUUGCAAGUGGCGGGUGAAAUCCCUCGGCUUAACCGAGGAACUGCCUGCCAGACUGCAUGGCUUGAGACCGGGAGAGGUGAGUGGAAUUCCCAGUGUAGCGGUGAAAUGCGUAGAUAUUGGGAGGAACACCAGUAACAAAGGCGGCUCACUGGACCGGUGCUGACGCUGAGGCGCGAAAGCGUGGGGAGCAAAC
This 250-nucleotide ribosomal RNA is filed under the name uncultured bacterium. RNAcentral describes it as "partial 16S ribosomal RNA". It matches the Rfam family "Bacterial small subunit ribosomal RNA", at positions 524 to 773 of the family's 1533-position model. The record is from RNAcentral.